This 780-nucleotide ribosomal RNA is filed under the name uncultured bacterium. RNAcentral describes it as "bacterial SSU rRNA". It matches the Rfam family "Bacterial small subunit ribosomal RNA", at positions 1 to 771 of the family's 1533-position model. The record is from RNAcentral.
CCCUUAGAGUUUGAUCCUGGCUCAGAACGAACGCUGGCGGCACGCUUCAUACAUGCAAGUCGCGCGAUUAAACCCCUUUCGGGGGGAUAUAAAGCGGCGAACGGGUGAGUAACAGGUGGAUAAUCUGCCUUCCGGUAGGGGAUACCGGCUGGAAACGGCCGUUAAUACCGUAUGUGACUACAUUCUUUUGGGAGUGUAGGGAAAGGCGCUUCACGGCGUCACCGGGAGAUGAGUCCGCCCCCCAUUAGCUAGUUGGUGUGAUAAUAGCGCACCAAGGCAGUGAUGGGUAGCCGAGCUGAGAGGUUGAUCGGCCACACUGGGACUGAGACACGGCCCAGACACCUACGGGUGGCAGCAGUAGGGAAUAUUGGACAAUGGGCGCAAGCCUGAUCCAGCGAUGCCGCGUGAGUGAUGAAGGCCUUCGGGUCGUAAAGCUCUUUUCCAAGGGAAGAACCGCCGGGGGAGGAAAUGCCUCUGGUUUGACGGUACCUUGGGAAUAAGGAACGGCUAACUCCGUGCCAGCAGCCGCGGUAAUACGGAGGUUCCUAGCGUUGUUCGGAAUUACUGGGCGUAAAGGGAGCGCAGGCGGAUCGUUAAGUCUAAAGUGGAAUCCCGGGGCUCAACCUCGGACGUGCUUUGGAUACUGGCGGUCUUGAGUUCGCGAGAGGAAGCGGAAUUCAGGGUGUAGCGGUGAAAUGCUUAGAUAUCCUGAGGAACACCAGUGGCGAAAGCGGCUUUCUGGCGCGAAACUGACGCUGAGCUCGAAAGCGUGGGGAGCGA